This 324-nucleotide ribosomal RNA is filed under the name uncultured Bacillota bacterium. RNAcentral's name for it is "bacterial SSU rRNA". It matches the Rfam family "Bacterial small subunit ribosomal RNA", at positions 29 to 351 of the family's 1533-position model. Lineage: Bacteria; Bacillati; Bacillota. The record is from RNAcentral.
AACGAACGCUGGCGGCGUGCCUAACACAUGCAAGUCGAGCGCGAAAGUCCCUUCGGGGGCAAGUAGAGCGGCGGACGGGUGAGUAACGCGUAGGCAACCUGCCCUUAACACAGGGAUAGCCUCGGGGAAACCGGGAUUAAAACCUGAUAAUGCCAAAUAGUCACAUGGCUGUUUGGCCAAAGAUUUAUCGGUUAAGGAUGGGCCUGCGUCUGAUUAGUUUGUUGGUGGGGUAACGGCCUACCAAGACUACGAUCAGUAGCCGACCUGAGAGGGUGAUCGGCCACAUUGGAACUGAGACACGGUCCAAACUCCUACGGGUGGCUG